Molecule: ribosomal RNA, 979 nt
Filed under: uncultured bacterium
Lineage: Bacteria
Description: bacterial SSU rRNA
Rfam family: Bacterial small subunit ribosomal RNA
Source: RNAcentral
GGCAAAGGCGUAUAGACUGCUUCUUUGAUGACGAGUGGCGCACGGGUGCGUAACGCGUAUACAAUCUGCCUCUUACAGGGGGAUAGCCUUUGGAAACGAAGAAUAAUACCCCAUAGUAUGUAGAUAUCGCAUGGUAACUACAUUAAAGAUUUAUCGGUAAGAGAUGAGUAUGCGUCCUAUUAGCUAGAUGGUGUGGUAACGGCACACCAUGGCAACGAUAGGUAGGGGCCCUGAGAGGGGGAUCCCCCACGCUGGUACUGAGACACGGACCAGACUCCUACGGGAGGCAGCAGUGAGGAAUAUUGGACAAUGGGCGAGAGCCUGAUCCAGCCAUGCCGCGUGCAGGAAGACUGCCCUAUGGGUUGUAAACUGCUUUUAUACGGGAAGAAACCCACCUACGUGUAGGUGGCUGACGGUACCGUAAGAAUAAGCAUCGGCUAACUCCGUGCCAGCAGCCGCGGUAAUACGGAGGAUGCAAGCGUUAUCCGGAAUCAUUGGGUUUAAAGGGUCCGUAGGUGGACAGUUAAGUCAGAGGUGAAAUCCUGCAGCUCAACUGUAGAAUUGCCUUUGAUACUGGUUGUCUUGAAUUAUUGUGAAGUGGUUAGAAUAUGUAGUGUAGCGGUGAAAUGCAUAGAUAUUACAUAGAAUACCAAUUGCGAAGGCAGAUCACUAACAAUAUAUUGACACUGAUGGACGAAAGCGUGGGGAGCGAACGGGAUUAGAUACCCCGGUAGUCCACGCCGUAAACGAUGGUCACUAGCUGUUCGGAUUUCGGUCUGAGUGGCUAAGCGAAAGUGAUAAGUGACCCACCUGGGGAGUACGUUCGCAAGAAUGAAACUCAAAGGAAUUGACGGGGGCCCGCACAAGCGGUGGAGCAUGUGGUUUAAUUCGAUGAUACGCGAGGAACCUUACCGGGGCUUAAAUGUAGAUUGCAUUAGCUAGAGAUAGCUAUUUCUUCGGACUAUCUACAAAGUGCUGC